RNAcentral lists this long non-coding RNA (1006 nucleotides) under Takifugu rubripes (torafugu). RNAcentral's name for it is "lncRNA (ENSTRUG00000032562.1)". The record is from RNAcentral. Lineage: Eukaryota; Metazoa; Chordata; Actinopteri; Tetraodontiformes; Tetraodontidae.
AGGCGGCGACUGUCCAGAAGAUCCCUCCAUCAGGAAGUGGCGAAUCCGGCCAUCAUCGCGUCCAACGGCGCUGAGAGACCGUGCAGGAUUUGCUCUAAUCGAGCAGGAGCAGAAGGAGAAAAAGACGUUUCAACGCCCUAUAGCUUAGUCUGCUGCUGAUACAAGGGAAGGACCAGGGAAUAGACAACAGCAUAAAGUUCAUGUUCAUAGAGCGUGCGCCACGUGGUCAGCUCCAGCCAAUGGCGGAGAGGAUCCAGUCGUAAACUUUUAUUACUCAGCUGUAAAUUUCUCCCUUUAACAACCAGGAAUGUUUGCACCCAUCUUUUCCCUUCCUUUCUCUCCCUUUUCCUUUCUGGGGCGCACAAAAACUAAAAAUGGCCACAUGAUAUGAAACGCCACGAAGAUUUUUUUUUCUUUCCACCUAUGGGUGAACCUUCUCAGCACGCGAAGGAAAAAAGAGACAGUUCGACAGCUGUGAGCCUAAAAAGCCAAAAAUCGGAUUGAGCUCCAGGAUACGCAAACCAGCUUUCAGCACCUGAAGGCUUCAGAUGCCUGUAAAAAAAAAUCAAAUUUACUCACAGAUUUGAGGAAACUUUACUAUUAAAAAGAUCAUAAACAUAAAUUUAAAAAACGGUUUGAGCGUGCAGCUAUACAUGAGGGUAUGAAUUCUUAAAAAUCAACCUGCAACAUAAAUCUGGGUCAAACUUUCAGCACACUGUGGGUAUGAAGGAAAAUAUUUAAAAACGUGGACAUAAAUCUGACAUCACAGAAAAACGGAGAACAACGUGCUCUCUGCUUAUAUAUAGGAAAUUCACUUCAUUAUCAGCACAACUAUCGAAAUUUACGUUAAAAGGUUCGUCGUAUUGUUGACAGUCCAGAUAAUUAUGGCGUGAUAAAUUCCAAAGUCCAACAUCGAGAGUUAUAGCUGAAAUCUUAUAAUGCAUUUUCUUUACAGGGACUUACAACCCGUAGAUUCACCAGUGACACAAAUUCCCUUAAUAAAUUA